RNAcentral lists this ribosomal RNA (164 nucleotides) under Oxalis debilis. RNAcentral's name for it is "5.8S ribosomal RNA". It matches the Rfam family "5.8S ribosomal RNA". From Rfam's summary of the family: 5.8S ribosomal RNA (5.8S rRNA) is a component of the large subunit of the eukaryotic ribosome. It is transcribed by RNA polymerase I as part of the 45S precursor that also contains 18S and 28S rRNA. The record is from RNAcentral. Lineage: Eukaryota; Viridiplantae; Streptophyta; Magnoliopsida; Oxalidales; Oxalidaceae.
AAAAUGACUCUCGGCAACGGAUAUCUCGGCUCUCGCAUCGAUGAAGAACGUAGCGAAAUGCGAUACUUGGUGUGAAUUGCAGAAUCCCGUGAACCAUCGAGUUUUUGAACGCAAGUUGCGCCCCAAGCCUUCAGGCCGAGGGCACGCCUGCCUGGGUGUCACAC